This 673-nucleotide ribosomal RNA is filed under the name uncultured organism. Its description in RNAcentral is "bacterial SSU rRNA". It matches the Rfam family "Bacterial small subunit ribosomal RNA", at positions 91 to 760 of the family's 1533-position model. The record is from RNAcentral.
ACAAGCGGCGGACGGGUGAGUAAUGCCUGGGAAUUUGCCCAUUUGUGGGGGAUAACAGUUGGAAACCACUGCUAAUACCGCAUACGCCCUACGGGGGAAAGCAGGGGAACUUCGGUCCUUGCGCUGAUGGAUAAGCCCAAGUGGGAUUAGCUAGUAGGUGAGGUAAUGGCUCACCUAUGCAACGAUCCCUAUCUGGUCUGAGAGGAUGAUCAGCCACACUGGGACUGAGACACGGCCCAGACUCCUACGGGAGGCAGCAGUGGGGAAUAUUGCACAAUGGGGGAAACCCUGAUGCAGCCAUGCCGCGUGUGUGAAGAAGGCCUUCGGGUUGUAAAGCACUUUCAGCGAGGAGGAAAGGGUGUAAGUUAAUACCUUACAUCUGUGACGUUACUCGCACAAGAAGCACCGGCUAACUCCGUGCCAGCAGCCGCGGUAAUACGGAGGGUGCGAGCGUUAAUCGGAAUUACUGGGCGUAGAGCGUGCGCAGGCGGUUUGUUAAGCGAGAUGUGAAAGCCCCGGGCUCAACCUGGGAACCGCAUUUCGAACUGGCAAACUACAGUCUUGUACAGGGGGGUAGAAUUCCAGGUGUAGCGGUGAAAUGCGUAGAGAUCUGGAGGAAUACCGGUGGCGAAGGCGGCCCCCUGGACAAAGACUGACGCUCAUGCACGAAAGC